Molecule: long non-coding RNA, 1093 nt
Filed under: Sorghum bicolor (sorghum)
Lineage: Eukaryota; Viridiplantae; Streptophyta; Magnoliopsida; Poales; Poaceae
Description: long non-coding RNA (SBIC_LNC002536)
Source: RNAcentral
GUUAAAAGAUAGAACAGUCUAGCCAAGUGCCAUGUCUCUUAUUCUUGAUCAGCAAUAGCUCUGGAGUUUUUGCAGAUUUUCAAAUAAAAUCUCAGAUAUUCCUUGUAUGAUUCUCAAAUCUCUCUUUUGUGGUAUUUUUGGAUCCUUACCAAGGCAGUGAUGGUAUAUGCCUUCUCUCAAAAAUAUGUAGUAAUUGUGGUAUAAAGCAUAGUGACAUUGUCUUCUCUCUCACCAUACUCUAAUAAGGCUUUUAAUAUCUGGAGCUCAUAGGUGGGAGAUAAAAUAUACAUACUUACAAGACAUGUAUUGCAUAGUCAAACCAUGGAUCCAAAGAAACAAAUCAAUAAGUCAAAUCAAGAUGUGCAUGUGUGGAGAAUGAAUGGUGUAUGGUGAUGAUGGUGACAACAAUGGUGAAAGUCUAAUUCUACUUUUGCUCUUUUGAGGGGAUAUAUACCUUUCUUGCUUUUUGAAACUUUAUGAGGAGAAUGAGAUGCUCUUCUUUUCUUUUCUCUCAAGUGAGUAUCUUGUACCCCUAAUUCUACUGUCGGACACUUAUCCAUUUUUACCUCUCGUCUCACUUUUUCUUUUCUUUCGAGGUUCCGAGCACUUGCUCCUUUUUAUUUCCUCGUAUCUCUUUUUUUUCUCUCUUUUUUUAGAGCACUCACACUACUAGGUAUGUGCUCAUUAAUGACACUACUCUUUCGUCACUGAAGAUAUCAAAAUCGUCAUGGAGUUUCUUUUGUGACGAAUUAGUGACAAAAUAGUGUUCGUCAUGGAAUGAGCGUCAUUGAUUGACAACGGUGACGAAAUGGCAAUUUUCGUCAUAGAUGAGGUCCUAUUCUAUGACGAAAAUACCAUCGUCACAGAAGAGAUUUCAUUCCAUGACAAAACGUUUUCGUCAUUGUUGUGCCCAACUUUUCGUCAUAGCAUGGCAAUCUGUUAGGCUACCAAACAGCGUUUGCCAUGCUGGCAGCUGACAUGGCCGCCACGUGGCGUGCUGACGUGGCCACCAUGUUGCAUGCUGACUGACUGCCACGUGUCGUGUUGCCAUGGCUUCCAAGUGGCAUGCUGACGUGGCAUCCUCCACGUGUCC